CAAUCUUGUGUAGAUCUGGGUGGUUUUGAACUCACAGAGAUCCGUCUACUUCUUAAUCCCGAGUCCUAGGAUUAAAGGUGUGUACCAGCACCUCCUAACUUCCGGCUGCCGGGAUUAAAGACAAGUAUCACCAUUGUCUGAUUUCCAUAGCUUGAGGCUGGCAUUGCUUUCUGAAUCCUCAGCACUGGGAUUGCAGGCAUGCUUGGUGCUUCACAAGCGUGCUGGGGAUCCGAGCCAGGGUCCUCCUGCUUGUGUGACAAGCACUUUACCACCAGAGUCACCUUGCUAGCUCCAGCAAUUUCUUCUUGUUCUUGGAAACAUCCCGAAAAGACCACAGUGGUAGAAUAUUAUUUUCAGAAAUGUAGCUUGACGUUCCGAUGUGCAGUCUGUGUCUCUUUACUUUGGAGUCUCCAUAACAAAAUACUGGAGAGAAACAAGGCAUGGGAGGAGAGAUUUAUUCCAGCUACAGUUUUGGAGGAUCUCAGUUCAUCAUGGAGGGGAAGGCAUGGUGGAGUCCAGGGCAGCAGGGACCUGUGGCAGACUCCUUAUAUGAGCAUUCCAGGAAUUGCAGACCAGGUGGGACCAAGUUCAGAGCUAUCUCCUUUGAACAUACUUGGUCUUAUAAAAUGUCAUCCCCAGUUAGGAAACAAGUGUCUAAAACCUGAGCCCAUCCUGGACAGUGGCCAUCUUUCCUGAAUUAUGAGGGAGAGUAGUCAGAGGCAGGAUGAGUUGAAAUACAUAGAAGUCAUUAGGAUGUUGGUGGCCAGUUAAACUACAGCCCUCCCCAUCUUUGGAUUUGGCAGCUGCACAAGCCUAAGUGCCUUUUACCGUGUAAAUUGAUUUCUCUUACUACGACUGAGAAAGUUGUAAUGGAAAUGUAGAAGCUAUCCAAUCUGGCUCUUUUUUAUGUCCAAUUUUCAUGUAUGUUUGUUUCUUCCCCCCAAAUGUGUUUCAAGCAUCUUCAAGAAUAGCCUUCGAAAAAUGUUGUUCUUUUGGGCUCUCCCACCAAGCCAAACAGCACUAACCUUUGUACAGAAGACUCAUAAAUGUUUGUUUACAGAGGACCAUGCCCAGCGGUCCAUUUUCAGAUCACUUUGUAGCAAUGUUGCUCAGCAGGUGCUUGGAUCAGCUUUUAGGUUCUCUUCAAGCCCAUUUCUUAUGCUUGGCUCUCACUGUCAUUAUCUCUCAGACUGGGGAAAUGGUUUCAGCAAAUGAGUUUGCUCCCUUUCAUUCAGCUCUCUGACACUUCAGCAUUAGCCAGAACCUACACUGUCUGGAGGGAAUAAAGGAAAAAGAAAGGGUUUAGGGAUAUUCUACUGAAGCUAUCACAGCAGCCAUAACUCACAUUUAUUUGGGAGGUGAUAAAUAUCCAUAGAAAUAGAAAUUGCAAUUCUCAGAACUCUUGGAAAAUUAAUAUUUUAAUUCAUCUUUAUGGAUGGGUUGCUAGUGUGAUGUCACAUAUAACAGAAAAAAAUGAACCAUUUGCUGGCUUUCUUCCAACUGGCUGUGAUGUUAUCAUUUGAAACAGGUCUAUGGGAGUGGAAAUCAUGUGUGAGAUAAAUGUAAUUAGCAUAGUCAAUCAUGUGCUACAGUCUUCAAAAAUUAGUGUGGGAGAAUAUCAAGUCUGGAUCCUCUGUGGAAUCUAAGUGUCCUGCCGUUCCUAGACACUUGUGUCUCACCGUCAUUGUUACGUGCCUUCAAACCAGUCUUCUGAUAGGGUUGAGACAGUGGACUCCUUCUACCCAAGCAAAUUCUUGUGACUCAAAGCUUUUGUAAACAAUUUAUGCACAUACAAUAAAAAAUUUUAAUAUA
Long non-coding RNA from Mesocricetus auratus (golden hamster), 1812 nucleotides. RefSeq lists it as uncharacterized. Lineage: Eukaryota; Metazoa; Chordata; Mammalia; Rodentia; Cricetidae. The transcript has 3 exons. The record is from RefSeq and is a predicted model, not a curated record.